Small nucleolar RNA from Amaranthus tricolor (Joseph's coat), 112 nucleotides. RefSeq annotates it as small nucleolar RNA Z278. Lineage: Eukaryota; Viridiplantae; Streptophyta; Magnoliopsida; Caryophyllales; Amaranthaceae. The record is from RefSeq and is a predicted model, not a curated record. The transcript has a single exon.
AGUGAUGAUAGAAUCCAAAUCUAAUGAGGUGUAAUGGAUCUGAGACCCUGUUAACAGGGAGAACCCCUCAGUGAAGCUACAUUCACAUGACAUUACUGGAUAUGACUGAGUU